This 332-nucleotide unclassified non-coding RNA is filed under the name soil metagenome. RNAcentral describes it as "partial contains 5.8S ribosomal RNA, internal transcribed spacer 2, and large subunit ribosomal RNA". The stretch from base 1 to 120 matches the Rfam family "5.8S ribosomal RNA", at positions 35 to 154 of the family's 154-position model. The record is from RNAcentral.
GAUGAAGAACGUAGCAAAAUGCGAUAAGUAAUGUGAAUUGCAGAAUUCAGUGAAUCAUCGAAUCUUUGAACGCACAUUGCGCCCGCCAGUAUUCUGGCGGGCAUGCCUGUUCGAGCGUCAUUUCAACCCUCAAGCACAGCUUGGUGUUGGGACUCGCGUUAAUUCGCGUUCCCCAAAUUGAUUGGCGGUCACGUCGAGCUUCCAUAGCGUAGUAGUAAAACCCUCGUUACUGGUAAUCGUCGCGGCCACGCUGUUAAACCCCAACUUCUGAAUGUUGACCUCGGAUCAGGUAGGAAUACCCGCUGAACUUAAGCAUAUCAAUAAGCGGAGGA